Non-coding RNA from Leptonychotes weddellii (Weddell seal), 452 nucleotides. The record is from RefSeq and is a predicted model, not a curated record. NCBI's taxonomy places the organism in Eukaryota, Metazoa, Chordata, Mammalia, Carnivora, Phocidae.
GUUCAGGGGAUCGAUAUGGCUACCGAGGGGGAUGUGGAGCUGGAGUUGGAGACUGAGACCAGCGGCCCGGAGCGGCCUCCCGAGAAGCCACGGAAGCAUGACAGCCGUGCAGUGGACCUGGAGAGAGUCACCGACUACGCAGAGGAGAAGGAGAUCCAGAGUUCCAAUCUGGAGACGGCCAUGUCCGUGAUUGGAGACAGACGGUCCCGGGAGCAGAAAGCCAAACAGGAGCGGGAGAAGGAACUGGCCAAAGUCACCAUUAAGAAGGAAGAUCUGGAGCUGAUAAUGACAGAGAUGGAGAUCUCAAGAGCAGCAGCAGAACGGAGCUUGAGGGAACACAUGGGCAACGUGGUAGAGGCUCUUAUUGCCCUAACCAACUGAUUUGUGCUUUCUCAGACCCACUCACUGGAUUAUUUUAUUUCAAUAAAGAUGUAGCCUUUUUUUUUUUUGCA